This 468-nucleotide ribosomal RNA is filed under the name uncultured bacterium. RNAcentral describes it as "partial 16S ribosomal RNA". It matches the Rfam family "Bacterial small subunit ribosomal RNA", at positions 28 to 507 of the family's 1533-position model. The record is from RNAcentral.
GACGAACGCUGGCGGCGUGCUUAACACAUGCAAGUCGAACGGAAAGGCCCUGCUUUUGUGGGGUGCUCGAGUGGCGAACGGGUGAGUAACACGUGAGUAACCUGCCCUUGACUUUGGGAUAACUUCAGGAAACUGGGGCUAAUACCGGAUAGGAGCUCCUGCUGCAUGGUGGGGGUUGGAAAGUUUCGGCGGUUGGGGAUGGACUCGCGGCUUAUCAGCUUGUUGGUGGGGUAGUGGCUUACCAAGGCUUUGACGGGUAGCCGGCCUGAGAGGGUGACCGGCCACAUUGGGACUGAGAUACGGCACAGACUCCUACGGGAGGCAGCAGUGGGGAAUAUUGCACAAUGGGCGGAAGCCUGAUGCAGUAACGCCGCGUGCGGGAUGACGGCCUUCGGGUUGUAAACCGCUUUCGCCUGUGACGAAGCGUGAGUGACGGUAAUGGGUAAAGAAGCACCGGCUAACUACGUG